GGGCAAGAGACUACGACAUUUCUUGUGGAAUCAUAAAUCACAUCGUGAGUGUGGUCUAGGACUAAUGAACAAUUCACCUGUGGUCCUCCAUCCUGGCACCUAAGAGGUUUUGUGAUCCUGUAUAUCCCGGUAUGUGUAAGGCCAUGGACAAAACCAGUACUGGUUCCCUUGAAGAACUCUGUGGGUAAAAGCACUGGAUACUUCCACAUGCAAGGCCCAGCCAGCUACACAGCAACAAGAAAGAAAUCCCUGGGAGGAACAAACAGUCCAUCGCUCAGAGCCACAUCCCAGUGA
This 294-nucleotide long non-coding RNA is filed under the name Anser brachyrhynchus (Pink-footed goose). Its description in RNAcentral is "lncRNA (ENSABRG00000012642.1)". Lineage: Eukaryota; Metazoa; Chordata; Aves; Anseriformes; Anatidae. The record is from RNAcentral.